AAGAACGAGCACAUGUCGCU
This 20-nucleotide unclassified non-coding RNA is filed under the name Chlamydomonas reinhardtii. RNAcentral describes it as "small RNA Cre_0083". The record is from RNAcentral. Lineage: Eukaryota; Viridiplantae; Chlorophyta; Chlorophyceae; Chlamydomonadales; Chlamydomonadaceae.